This 842-nucleotide ribosomal RNA is filed under the name uncultured bacterium. RNAcentral's name for it is "bacterial SSU rRNA". It matches the Rfam family "Bacterial small subunit ribosomal RNA", at positions 58 to 916 of the family's 1533-position model. The record is from RNAcentral.
CAAGUCGUACGAGAAAGUAGCAAUAUGAGUAAAGUGGCGCACGGGUGAGUAAUAAUUGGAUAAUGCGCCUCUUCGCUGGGGAUAACCAGGCGAAAGCUUGGCUAAUACCGAAUAGUCCGGUCCGUUCUUCGGAUCAGAUCGGUAAAGCUGUAAAGCGCGGAGAGAGUAGUCCAAUUCCCAUUAGCUAGUUGGUAGGGUAACGGCCUACCAAGGCUACGAUGGGUAGCUGGUCUGAGAGGACGAUCAGCCACACUGGAACUGGAACACGGUCCAGACUCCUACGGGAGGCAGCAGUUAGGAAUCUUGCGCAAUGGGGGAAACCCUGACGCAGCAACGCCGCGUGAAGGAUGAAGGCUUUCGGGUUGUAAACUUCUUUUAGCAGGAAAGAACACAAUGACGGUACCUGCAGAAAAAGCACCGGCUAACUCUGUGCCAGCAGCCGCGGUAAUACAGAGGGUGCAAGCGUUAUUCGGAUUUACUGGGCAUAAAGAGCGCGUAGGCGGUUUAAUAAGUCUGAUGUGAAAUCCCUGGACCCAAUCCAGGAAGUGCAUCGGAUACUGUUAGACUAGAGUACAGGAGGGGACAGCGGAAUUCCUGGUGUAGAGGUGAAAUUCGUAGAUAUCAGGAGGAACAACAGCGGCGAAGGCGGCUGUCUGGACUGUCACUGACGCUGAGGCGCGAAAGCGUGGGGAGCAAACAGGAUUAGAUACCCUGGUAGUCCACGCCGUAAACGAUGGAUGCUAGAUGUCGGAAGGUUCUACCCUUUCGGUGUCGUCGCAAAUGCAUUAAGCAUCCCGCCUGGGGAGUACGGUCGCAAGAUUAAAACUCAAAGAAAUUGACGG